UCACCCUAGAAAAAUUCUAGGAAAUCAGACUGUAUUAAGCCAAUACACUAAUUCAUACAGCAGCCAAAUCAAGAGAAAAGAGUUCCAUAGCCACAUUCAAGAGUCCAUUAAAGCUCCACUGAAAAACAAGCUACUGCUGAUUUCAAGGGGGGAUUACAGAGCAAAAGGAGGAGUGUUUUGAAUCCUGAUGUAACAAAGAGGUACAAAGAUUGAGAGGUCAAUGAAUAAGGACCGUGAGUCAGUGAGUUUCCAGAAUCAGCUUGUCCUUGCAGACAUUUUUUUUUUUCAAUCUCAUUGAAAGAACUGGCACAUGAGGAUCUUCUGAUCUGCACCAUGGCAAUCAGAUCAGUUACAUAGGGUUGCAGGUGGUAAGAAGAAUGCAGGAGGAUCUGGCUUGGGUUCCAUCUGGCAAGGAAGGAAGAUACUUUAGCAGAAGAACCAGAUGCUACUUUGGAGCUUUGUGGCCUAGCACAGAUUUUUCAUUUUGGAAUUUAAACCACUUAAAAUGAAAACUUACAACCCCGGAUUCUGGACAUUUGUACAACUUGAGGUAAGAAAACAAACCUUGCAAAGCAAAUAGGAACAGUGAUUCCUCCUAAAUCCUAAAUAAGCUCUAGUGUUUACUGUGGGAA
Molecule: long non-coding RNA, 632 nt
Filed under: Crocodylus porosus (Australian saltwater crocodile)
Lineage: Eukaryota; Metazoa; Chordata; Crocodylia; Crocodylidae
Description: lncRNA (ENSCPRG00005018461.1)
Source: RNAcentral